Dermacentor albipictus is the source of this 6602-nucleotide non-coding RNA. Lineage: Eukaryota; Metazoa; Arthropoda; Arachnida; Ixodida; Ixodidae. The record is from RefSeq and is a predicted model, not a curated record.
GUUUACGAAAAUUUCAAGCAAAGUUGGUUGACUCGUUUGUCACAUGAAAAGCUCGCUAACGCCAUCGUCAGCAGCAACGGACUUUAAAGAUGGCGGACGGAGGGGGCGAGAAGCAAUUAACCUACACCCAAGACAAUGUGUCCGUACGCAUGCUCAGUUCACGUGGUGAGGAGACGAUAUCCGGGAAGCUGGAAAUCACAAAGGAGAAGCACGGACAUGUCGUGACGUGGUUGGCAUACCCGCCGCCUUCGGCGGCCAAGGAGCAGCCGCAGCGCUACGACGAGGACUCCGCCGGUGUCUGGGAGGACCUGACAGCUGACAGCCCCGUUGCGUACCAUGUGGGGGGCAAAGACAAUUGCCAGUCGCCUGACUCCGUGAAGAUCAAGAAGGAGAACGGGACCUCCGCAGGUGACUCGCCCUCGCCUGUGCCGCACACCACCGUGUCGUUCGAGGUGACCGACCUCACCUCGUACCGGUGCCGCCAGGUUGCCGACACGCACGAGCUCACGCUGAACCUGAGCGACGGCACGCGCCUCCCCACCUUCAUUUUCAUCGAGCGUCGUUACGAGCACUUCAUCCGUGCCCUGCACGAACACAUCUCCUUCAAAAGGUCACGGAAGGACCCGCUCCUCUAUUUGGUUCAGAUGCCAACUGUCGAGGCACUGCACAAGUCGUUUGACCAGCUGGACCUGUAUCCGGAGUCGUCUUCACGGUACGACGUCAUCCGGAAGUUCUUGGUGAAUCCAACCUGGGACGCAACGUGGGACGGCUUUGCCAAGGUGGCGAACUAUGUCACUGGUGCCGCCGCAGGGUUGCCCGGCGAGGACUACAGACUCGGUUACGAGUACUUUGGCGAGCAGCAGCCUGACAGUCUGACUGGUCUUGAGAUUAGUGACCACAGCGAAGAGCCUGGCUUUGAGGUGGUCGUCAGGACCCUGCCCAAGCGGACCGAGGUGAAGCGUGGCAGUCCACUUUGUCACGAGGAGUGGGCCAUGGCACAUGGUCCGGAAGGACGAAUCCUUAAUGAGGGUACCCUCAGGGAGCGCAUCUUUCGUGGGGGCAUUGCCUCUGACCUGAGGCGGGAGGUGUGGCCUUUCCUGCUCGGGUACUACUCCUUCGACUCGACCUACAAGGAACGGGAGGCCCUCCGGAAGAAACUCAAGGACUACUAUUACCGAAUGAAGCUUCAAUGGAAGUCCAUCAGCGAUGACCAGGAAUCGCGAUUUGCCGACUUCAGGGAAAGGAAGAACCUCGUUGAGAAAGAUGUGAGCCGGACUGACCGGACGCACAUCUUCUACCAGGGUGAAAACAAUGCCAAGAUAGAGAUGCUCAACGACAUCCUCAUGACCUAUGUCAUGUACAACUUUGACUUGGGCUACGUCCAGGGCAUGAGUGAUCUGCUGUCGCCUAUUCUGAUGGUAGUGGACAACGAGGAGGACGCCUUCUGGUGUUUUGUGGGCUUCAUCAAACGAGUGAUGUCCAACUUUGAUAUUGACCAGAGUGGCAUGAAGAAGCAGUUGGCACAGCUCUACGACAUCCUUGCUGUGGCUGUUCCUAAGCUGGCCAUUUACCUUGAGGAGCAUGAGUCUGGCAACCUGUACUUCUGCUUCCGCUGGCUCCUGGUUCUCUUCAAGCGCGAGUUCAAGUGCGAGGAGAUCAUGAGGCUGUGGGAGGUGUUGUGGACAGACCUGCCCUGCAAGAACUUCCACCUGCUUCUUUGUGUGGCCAUCCUGGACCAUGAGAAGGACUUGCUCAUUGAGAAUAACUAUGGGCUCAAUGAGAUUCUGAAGCAUGUCAACGACAUGUGCUAUCGGAUAGAUCUGGAGCUUAUCCUUUCCACGGCGGAGGCGAUUGUAGAACAGCUGAAGGGGUCCACGAAGCUUCCCGAAUCGGUUCAAGAGGCGCUGGGCAUACGCAUUGCCAAUGGUGCUUCGUCCGUUGACACCGGUGGCGUGGCUGCCAAUGGCGACGUCAACCUUUGCGGCGAGAAGGACGCGCCAACCUCUCCGGCGAGCCUGCACGAAGGCCAGCGGACGUGCAGCACCAGUUCGGUGGAGGUGCUCUCGGACGGUGACGUAGAGGCGAGGUACGAGCGCCACCUGCAGUUCUCCCUUUGAACUACCACUUUCGGAGCGUAGCGGGAAUGCCCCAGCUGGGCUGGGGAGGGAGGCUUUCGAAUCUCCUAGCCAAGAGCUCUCCACGAAGACAUACGAGUAGCCAGGAGUGCAGAGUGCAGCCAAUCGUAUGACAGCGACGUACCUCUUUUUCUACAGCGCGCUGAGUCUGCCAGGAAUAGCUUGUGAUAUUGCCCUCAGAAACGUUUAUUGUGGCCCAGGAUGUGUGCUGCGGACACUGUGUAGUUUCUGGCCUCAAGUACCAUCAAGACAUCAAACAGUACCACCAGUACUGUUUGCCUUCACUAGCGAAUAAUUUGUGCGCAGGCUUCAGUUAACCAUAUUUGAUUAUAUCACAUGAAGCCAUCUCCAUAGUUAUGCCUGGACCUCAACUUAUGGAAGCUUUAGCAAGCGACAAAGCAAUUUUUAAAUCAGCAAUCUUGUUACGCAUUCAUGCAAGAAAGAAAAAGUUGCUGUGUUUUUGAAUGAGAAUAGUAUGUUGUCUAUUAAACAAUCAAGUUUGUUAAUGUGUAUCUUUGCAUUAGCAAUGUUCACUUAUAGUUUGUUCAAUUUGUCACUUUACCACUAAAAUAUUUUUUUUUUCAAAGUGUAGUUAAGAGAUGUGACUUUGGCAAAUUGCAUUGAUAUGUCAUUAGUUAUCAAUACCGAUAAAGCUUGGCAUUUUCAUGUUCAGGUUCUCAGCGUUAGUUUACAAGCUUCUGCUUUUUGCAGGCAGUCCAUUUGGCACUGCUGUUUGUAAUAAAUAGUGAUGUACAAAGAUGCUACAGUGUACAAUAUCUUGUGUAUUAGUGCAUGUCCUAUUAUCUAUAUUUUGUGGCCUCUAUAUAUAUAUAUAUAUAUAUUAUUUGUACUACCAAACAGCAGGUUCUUUUUGCUAUCUUUGUAUCGCAUUCCCGCAUUUUCUUGUAGCAUUUUUUAGUUGUGUAAUUUACAUAGUGGUGAAGCUUGUGCUUUGUGCUGGGCAUUGUUCUUCCCUGUAAGUUAUUUCAAAGAAAAAAUAUAUUUUACAAGUACUGCUGUGGGCCUCUGUCUACAUGAUCGUUAGUGCCACAGCACAUGGCUGCAAUUGUUUUUGUGUGUGGCUGUGUGAAGGUGGGUACCAUGAAUUAGCAUUGGAGGUUUGAGGCCUGGUCAGAGUGAUACAUGCAACAUCAUGUGCUGUUAAUGUGUUGCUCUUAAACUUGAUUAUGAGAUUCUUGCUUUGUUGGAAUAUUCCGCAGUUCCGAGUCAUUGUACUGUGUGUUAUGCAUUUGUGCACUCCUUCUCAGUCAGCAUUAUUCCAGUAUAUUUUGUUCUUGUCAUAGCGUAGCUAUUCGAUGUGGUUGAUGUUUGUGGCGAACACUUUUGGGUAUGCUACUGUGUCUACUUGCUUUUCUGUGUCUUUGUUUCUAGUUCUCAUUAUUGUAGAAUCGUCGAACAUUUGUAUCUAUCGUUUGUUUUUUAGUAUAUAAUCAAGUGAGCAGUGUAUAAAUCUGUAAGGUAGGGUAAGGUUCAUAAAAGAUAAUCGAGAAGUCAGAAUUUAAGAAAGCUUUUUAUUCAGUCACAAGGCGUAGUUUCUACAAAUUAACUCUAUCGAUCCCUAGCCGUUUUGGCUAGAACAUCAGUUCAUGCAAGAACGUCAGUGUAAUAAAUGCAAGCUGAAGGAAGCGUUUAGCAGAUGCUCUGUAGCUUUGUGCUCAUAUAGUCCUGCGGAUGUUCCAGUAUCCCUUUUAAGGAAUCUUCCAUCUUGAUAAUUUAUACAAGGCACAUGUGUUUAACCAAUGCACCUGUGCUUACAGCUGUCAAUUAAUUCAUCCUUUACUUGCCACCGUCUCCUAGCCUUUUGGUUAGCCCAGUUGGUGAGAUGCAACUAUCCAGCGGCAGUGACGGAAUAAUGACAAAUUUGGCAUCAACUGCGAAGCUUUACUUCUCAGAAACCUACAUGAAUUUACCUUCACAGGAAAUACGGCUUUCCAAUCCAUGUUUUGACAUGUUCAUGCAGGUACAUUGACCAUUUUUGUUUAUCCUCGAUUUGUACACACAAUUUGCUCAUUCAGUAUUGUUAUGUUUGCAGAACCUGUCUGGGAUGCUUCACUUAGAAUUUUGUCUGGAGAUGUUAUAUAAUUUGUGUCCUGUGAGCUGCCAUUGUACCUUGCACCUUAUGCUGUUGAUGACAUGGAGAGCUCUCAUUCUGAGUAGGGGUGUCAGUGACAAAAUGAUAAUUGACAUGAGUAUGACUGCUUGGACAAAACUGGCUUCAAAUGUAAAAUUGACAAUUUUUUUCUUGUUUGUAAGAUAUUGAUGGUAACGUAAUGGUAGCUGAAUAGCAAAACACCACUCAUUAUGCAUGUUCCUCGAAACAGAUCUUGCCAUUAAGACUGGUUGAAGAGGGAUUUUAUUUGGGCUUGUGCAGAAACGACAAAUGCAUGAAACGGCUGUGCGCAGUUCAUAUGACCUUGGCGAUGACAAAAAAUGAAACCCAGCAGUUCUUGAAUACCUAAUGUUAGGUAGGGUUGCUUAUAAUGUGAUUGAAGAUGACACAAUAUCCCUCAAUGAAAAAUUGGUCUGAAAACAUGGUGCAUCAUGUGCACUGACAACAAUAUAAGUGUGUUUAUUUCAGAUUUUAGAAAAAUUAAUUUAAAAAAGAGAAGAAGAAAUGUGGACACUGCAUUAAUAUAGCCUUCUCCAAUCUUACGAAUAAGCUAUCCCAGUAGGCAAGAACAAUAACAACAUAGAGGUACAACAAUUGCAUCCAAAAGCACUCUGUUUUGACAAAAUACCAAUGUAUUAUGUCCAGCAGAAGUGUCCUCAAAGACAGUAAAAGUGGGAGUGUGUUAUGGCACAUGGUAUGUUGAUGUUCAAGCAUUUUGUAAGAGUAUCUCUGGGCUUGUAGAAAUAGCAGUUAGUUUAACAUCGACGUAAGUUGGAACCAUUACAUUUUUGUUUAUGUCGUAAGACUUGCAAGAACCACUAGUAAAAGUUGAAAUGUGUGUCAUAUGCCUAUUUGUAGUAGAGAGCCUACAAGAUCAUAUAGGCUUCUUAAUGGAUGGAUGGACAGAUGCUAUGAGCAUCCCCUUUGGAAGUGGGGGGGGGGGUCGUGCCACCAGGCUCUUAUUGCAUUGCCUAAUGUCCUACCUAUGUAUAGUUAGUAGUAGUGCCGCCUUGUGGUGGCUGGCCUAAGUUACGGUAGAUUAUGCUGAGCAUGGCCUCCAGUGUUAGUCUACGGCACUAUAUGUGUCAUGAAGCAGCGGAAAUGGUACACGUGGGCAACACAUCUGAACACAUGCGUGAAGGGGAUGGCGUACUCAGUUCCUUGAACUUGGAAGGCAGCAAGGAAUCUGGCGGUUUCGCUAAAGCAAACAUUGUCACAUUGUGGAAAGUUAAUCACACACUGUAUGGUUGGACACUUGACUUUCGGCAGUGUGCCCAUGUACCAUGGUAACCUUGUGGGGCUGUACAUGCGGCAAUGAUUUCAAGCCUGUGCCACAACCGCCGUAACAUGUAUGGCCGGUGUAAACUAAUAUUUCAGGUUUACCAUGAACUUUACCAAAAGAAGUGAACUUCCUGCAAAAACAGCCAAUCUGUAACUACAAUGUGGCAGCAGCUUCACACAGUUUUAAAGCCCUUAGAUUCUAAUGUGAGAUUCAUGGCAUCAGUGACAAAGGUCCGACUAAGUCGGUGAUAUAACGUGCGGCGAAAUGUGCUAAAAUGAUAUGCAAACCCAGGUGGUAGGAGCGAUUGCCAUAUUGUUGCUCAGUUGAAAUGCAUUUAUUGUGACACAAAAAGUUAAAACUUAAUUUUUCGUCAGAUUGACGCAUGGCAUGAUUAAGGACACCAAAGAAAAGAGAAAAUGUUCGAACUGGUAGAGCAUUACAUCAAAACAUUAUUGGCAUUCUUUCGAUGGAAAAUGGGCUAAUGAAGAAAUUGGAGGAAAAAAUUCACAUUCCUGAAUUUUUCAUUGGCGGCAGUUAAGGAGGCUGUGUGAAGAUGUUCUGAAGUUGUGAAGCCGCAUUUACAUUUACAUUAAACUCUUUCCAAUAUCCUUCAUUGACAUACAAUUAACUAGCAAUGAGAAAAUGCUGUAAAAUCUGUCACAAGCACUGGUGUGGGAGACGCCUCCACCCGUUUUUUGGUCUUUGGAUACCUUGUCAGAAUGGCUUGUCAACCCUUUGGUUGUGACAGACUGAGUGAGUAAAUGAGUAGUGUAGUCAUUCUCUUUUAACCUGACAUCUCUGUAUUGUGUCAGGUCCUAUGAAAUACUGGUGGGAUUGACCAUAUGUUUUCAUUUUCUGUUGGUGCUGUUUGUCAAGCAUAUCGUACUGGCUGAUGUCUGGUGUCGGGCUGUGUUUUGUACUGUAUGAGAUUCUACAAGGUCAUUGAAAGGCUGUUGCUCGUUCUUGGAAUGUACAUCGUUUUGCCUCCAGAUCAAAGAGCUAUGCAAGAAUGUAUAUUACGCUGUAUAUCGAAAUAAAUGGCAUGUGUAUUCAA